UGCCUACGGGGCGCAGCAGUGAGGAAUAUUGGUCAAUGGGCUUACGCCUGAACCAGCCAAGUCGCGUGAGGGAAGACGGCCCUAUGGGUUGUAAACCUCUUUUGUCGGAGAACAAAACCCGGGACGUGUCCCGGACUGCGUGUAUCCGAAGAAAAAGCAUCGGCUAACUCCGUGCCAGCAGCCGCGGUAAUACGGAGGAUGCGAGCGUUAUCCGGAUUUAUUGGGUUUAAAGGGUGCGUAGGCGGAAUGCCAAGUCAGCGGUAAAAUCGCGGGGCUCAACCUCGCUCCGCCGUUGAAACUGGCGU
Molecule: ribosomal RNA, 305 nt
Filed under: uncultured bacterium
Lineage: Bacteria
Description: bacterial SSU rRNA
Rfam family: Bacterial small subunit ribosomal RNA
Source: RNAcentral